Homo sapiens (human) is the source of this 532-nucleotide long non-coding RNA. The record is from Ensembl. Lineage: Eukaryota; Metazoa; Chordata; Mammalia; Primates; Hominidae.
CUUAUUCAUCAUUCAUUCAUUUAUUUGAUUAGUUGAAAACACUUCCGACUAAGGAAGCAGAGAGCCCACAAUCCUGUGGGAAAACAGGCCUGGGAACUAAUAUCUCAGGGGUAGUGAGGGUCGGGCCCAGAUCCUCAAAGGGGAGAAUAAAAAAGCUAGGGUGCCGUAUGUUGCAUAAAGAAAGUAGCAGGAAUAAACCUGCCAGAUGUACAGCAGUAGCAUAAGUAGGUGAACAGGCAUAAUUUUCAAGUAUUUUCUUUGAUGGAGAUGAGACCUGAAGUUGUGACCAAAGCACCGCUGCAGCAAGCUCCAACACAUGUAAGCCAUCAAGGGGAUGUUAAAAAACGCCAGCUGGAAAAGAACAGAACCAUAGCUUACUCCCAAGUCCUUGGAAGAGUUUGGUCUUAAUAAUGCAUUAUUAGUGGAUCCUAAGACUAUGCUGCUAUCUGUCUUGGCGUUAGCUAAUUUACUUCAAGCACAGUUGCUUAUAACACAACAGCUGACUUGUGGCUAGUUGUGUAUUUGCCCAUGU